GUGUGGGAGAUCAAGAUUUGGCCACCCUGAAAUCUAUCUCUUUACCUUGGUUGUUUUCUCUAGGGACAUUUGACCUCCCCCACUAACUGCCUAAAGAAUUUGACAUGGUGGCUCCUUCCUGGAACAGAUCUAUCAUGAUGCCUGUAAAGAUAAUGUAGGAUGGAGGUUACAAUAGGAAAGGCACCAACAAGCGCAUCUUAUCAGAAGUUCUGUCUCUCUGGCCACAUUCUCUGGAUGGCCCUGCCAGGAGUUGCCAGACAAUCAUUUACAUUUAUAAGGGAAAUCUCCAUUUGUAAAGGUAUUUCCCUCUCUGUUUUGAGAAGAGAGGGGGAUGGCCUCAUUUCUAGAGGCUUAUCAAUGUGGAAGUUGAGGCCUUAAAGCUGCAUAAUAACCUUACUCUUGUCUACUGUGCUUUAGUGGUAAUCUCCUGUAACUGACUCCCCCCACCCCCAACAUCCUCCUUUGGCAUUGGCUGAACAUGGUAUUUAAGACGAGAAUUUCUGCUAUUGUGUUGAGAAACGCAGUGUCCUUGUUUUCUCCCAUGUAUACAUGUUAUUAAACUUGGUAUUAUUUUCUCCUGCUAACCUGUCUUGUUGAUUAUUUGGCCAGCCAUAAUAACCUUAAGGAAAAGGGCAGAGGGAGAUUCUUCCUCUUCCCCCGACAAUGGCUAUAAAGAUAAUGUAGGAUAGAGGUUACAAUAGCAAAGGCACCAAGCCUCUUUUAUCAAAAACUCUGUCUCUCCCUGACCACAUUAUCUAUAGAUGACCCCGAAAAGAAUUGUCCUCCUGCCCUCUGAAGUCCCAGGCCACUACCCACCCCCAACACGUUCCUCGCCUUCAGCUGCAAUACUUAAGCAAGCAGCUUAGACAGAGGGGCGAGUUGCUCAUUUCUGAGUUUCUCCCAUGUAUACAUGUUAUUAAACUUGGUAUUAUUUUCUCCUGCUAACUUGUCUUGUUAAUUAUUUGGCCAGCCAUACGAACCUUAAAGAAAAGGGCAGAGGGAGAUUCUCCCUCUUCCCCCGACAGUUUUGGCGUAGUCGCCAGGAGCCACACUGGCUGGCAAGUUGCCUUCUCUGGCUGGAAGACCUGCCUUCUCCCUGGACUACUGCAGAUGAUGAGAUAUGGGAACGCCUGACAAAAGCCAGCAAAAGAAUCACUGAGAACUGAACCUGCCCUUUUUCCUGAAGCCUUACAAACUGAAGCUGAUGGAAUUGAUAUAAACUUAAGAGAUUACCCGAUGACAUCAUCAGAGACAUUUAAACUACAAAAGAUACUUUGACGCUGACAUCUAAAAAUCUUCUUAACUAGCUGUCCUCUGAACUCAAAAACUGGUUUACAAUUUGCUCCAACCAUUAACCUUGUUUUUCUUUUGUUUACAUAGAAAUGCUUCCAUUAAAUACUUGAUUGCUUGCUUCCACAAUAUAGGCGUAACCUUGAGAGCCCACCUGCAUCACCACCUUCUAAAAUGAACUUAAUUAAACUGAUCUAUUAUCAG
Molecule: long non-coding RNA, 1494 nt
Organism: Diceros bicornis minor
Lineage: Eukaryota; Metazoa; Chordata; Mammalia; Perissodactyla; Rhinocerotidae
Exons: 2
Source: RefSeq, a predicted model, not a curated record